Long non-coding RNA from Carassius carassius (crucian carp), 3384 nucleotides. RefSeq lists it as uncharacterized. Lineage: Eukaryota; Metazoa; Chordata; Actinopteri; Cypriniformes; Cyprinidae. The transcript has 5 exons. The record is from RefSeq and is a predicted model, not a curated record.
GUCACUAGCAGGUGUGUAGAUGAUGCUGAUGUCACUAGCAGGUGAGGAGGAGCAUGAUGUCACUAGCAGGUGUGUAGAUGAUGCUGAUGUCACUAGCAGGUGUGUUGAUGAUGCUGAUGUCACUAGCAGGUGAGGAGGAGCAUGAUGUCACUAGCAGGUGUGUAGAUGAUGCUGAUGUCACUAGCAGGUGAGUAGAUGAUGCUGAUGUCACUAGCAGGUGUGUAGAUGAUGCUGACGUCACUAGCAGGUGUGUAGAUGAUGCUGAUGUCACUAGCAGGUGUGUUGAUGAUGCUGAUGUCACUAGCAGGUGUGUAGAUGAUGCUGAUGCCACUAGCAGGUGUGUAGAUGAUGCUGAUGUCACUAGCAGGUGUGUAAAUGAUGCUGAUGUCACUAGCAGGUGUGUAGAUGAUGCUGAUGUCACUAGCAGGUGAGGAGGAGCAUGAUGUCACUAGCAGGUGUGUAGAUGAUGCUGAUGUCACUAGCAGGUGUGUAGAUGAUGCUGAUGUCACUAGCAGGUGUAUAGAUGAUGCUGAUGUCACUAGCAGGUGAGGAGGAGCAUGAUGUCACUAGCAGGUGUGUAAAUGAUGCUGAUGUCACUAGCAGGUGAGGAGGAGCAUGAUGUCACUAGCAGGUGUGUAGAUGAUGCUGAUGUCACUAGCAGGUGAGGAGGAGCAUGAUGUCACUAGCAGGUGUGUAGAUGAUGCUGAUGUCACUAGCAGGUGAGGAGGAGCAUGAUGUCACUAGCAGGUGUGUAGAUGAUGCUGAUGUCACUAGCAGGUGUGUAGAUGAUGCUGAUGUCACUAGCAGGUGUGUAGAUGAUGCUGAUGUCACUAGCAGGUGAGGAGGAGCAUGAUGUCACUAGCAGGUGUGUAAAUGAUGCUGAUGUCACUAGCAGGUGAGGAGGAGCAUGAUGUCACUAGCAGGUGUGUAGAUGAUGCUGAUGUCACUAGCAGGUGAGGAGGAGCAUGAUGUCACUAGCAGGUAUGUAGAUGAUGCUGAUGUCACUAGCAGGUGUGUAGAUGAUGCUGAUGUCACUAGCAGGUGUGUAGAUGAUACUGAUGUCACUAGCAGGUGUGUAGAUGAUGCUGAUGUCACUAGCAGGUGUGUAGAUGAUGCUGAUGUCUAUAGCAGGUGAGGAGGAGCAUGAUGUCACUAGCAGGUGUGUAGAUGAUGCUGAUGUCACUAGCAGGUGAGGAGGAGCAUGAUGUCACUAGCAGGUAAGUAGAUGAUGCUGAUGUCACUAGCAGGUGAGGAGGAGCAUGAUGUCACUAGCAGGUAUGUAGAUGAUGCUGAUGUCACUAGCAGGUGUGUAGAUGAUACUGAUGUCACUAGCAGGUGGGUAGAUGAUACUGAUGUCACUAGCAGGUGUGUAGAUGAUGCUGACGUCACUAGCAGGUGUGUAGAUGAUGCUGAUGUCUAUAGCAGGUGAGGAGGAGCAUGAUGUCACUAGCAGGUGAGUAGAUGAUGCUGAUGUCACCAGCAGGUGUGUAGAUGAUGCUGAUGUCUAUAGCAGGUGAGGAGGAGCAUGAUGUCACUAGCAGGUGUGUAGAUGAUGCUGAUGUCACUAGCAGGUGUGUAAAUGAUGCUGAUGUCUAUAGCAGGUGAGGAGGAGCAUGAUGUCACUAGCAGGUGUGUAGAUGAUGCUGAUGUCACUAGCAGGUGAGUAGAUGAUGCUGAUGUCACUAGCAGGUGUGUAGAUGAUGCUGAUGUCUAUAGCAGGUGAGGAGGAGCAUGAUGUCACUAGCAGGUGUGUAAAUGAUGCUGAUGUCACUAGAAGGUGAGGAGGAGCAUGAUGUCACUAGCAGGUAUGUAGAUGAUGCUGAUGUCACUAGCAGGUGUGUAAAUGAUGCUGAUGUCACUAGCAGGUGAGGAGGAGCAUGAUGUCACUAGCAGGUAUGUAGAUGAUGCUGAUGUCACUAGCAGGUGUGUAAAUGAUGCUGAUGUCACUAGCAGGUGUGUAGAUGAUGCUGAUGUCACUAGCAGGUGUGUAGAUGAUACUGAUGUCACUAGCAGGUGAGGAGGAGCAUGAUGUCACCAGCAGGUGUGUAGAUGAUGCUGAUGUCACUAGCAGGUGUGUAGAUGAUACUGAUGUCACUAGCAGGUGUGUAGAUGAUGCUGAUGUCACUAGCAGGUGUGUAGAUGAUACUGAUGUCACUAGCAGGUGUGUAGAUGAUGCUGAUGUCACUAGCAGGUGAGUAGAUGAUGCUGAUGUCACUAGCAGGUGUGUAGAUGAUGCUGAUGUCUAUAGCAGGUGAGGAGGAGCAUGAUGUCACUAGCAGGUGUGUAGAUGAUGCUGAUGUCACUAGCAGGUGAGGAGGAGCAUGAUGUCACUAGCAGGUAUGUAGAUGAUGCUGAUGUCACUAGCAGGUGUGUAGAUGAUACUGAUGUCACUAGCAGGUGAGGAGGAGCAUGAUGUCACCAGCAGGUGUGUAGAUGAUGCUGAUGUCACUAGCAGGUGAGUAGAUGAUGCUGAUGUCACCAGCAGGUGUGUAGAUGAUGCUGAUGCCACUAGCAGGUGUGUAGAUGAUGCUGAUGUCACUAGCAGGUGAGUAGAUGAUGCUGAUGCCACUAGCAGGUGUGUUGAUGAUGCUGAUGUCAUAAGCAGGUGACGAGGAGCAUGAUGUCACUAGCAGGUGUGUAGAUGAUGCUGAUGUCACUAGCAGGUGUGUAGAUGAUGCUGAUGUCACUAGCAGGUGUGUAGAUGAUGCUGAUGUCACUAGCAGGUGUGUAGAUGAUGCUGAUGUCAUAAGCAGGUGACGAGGAGCAUGAUGUCACUAGCAGGUGUGUAGAUGAUGCUGAUGUCACUAGCAGGUGACGAGGAGCAUGAUGUCACUAGCAGGUGUGUAGAUGAUGCUGAUGUCACUAGCAGGUGAGGAGGAGCAUGAUGUCACUAGCAGGUGUGUAGAUGAUGCUGAUGUCACUAGCAGGUGAGGAGGAGCAUGAUGUCACUAGCAGAUGUGUAGAUGAUGCUGAUGUCACUAGCAGGUGACGAGGAGCAUGAUGUCACUAGCAGAUGUGUAGAUGAUGCUGAUGUCACUAGCAGGUGACGAGGAGUAUGAUGUCAAUAGCAGGUGUGUAGAUGAUGCUGAUGUCACUAGCAGGUGAGUAGAUGAUGAUGCUGAUGUCACUAGCAGGUGUGUAGAUGAUGCUGAUGUCACUAGCAGGUGAGGAGGAGCGUGUUGUCACUAGCAGGUGUGUAGAUGAUGCUGAUGUCACUAGCAGGUGAGGAGGAGCGUGAUGUCACUAGCAGGUGUGUAAAUGAUGCUGAUGUCACUAGCAGGUGAGGAGGAGCAUGAUGUCACUAGCAGGUGUGUAGAUGAUGCUGAUGUCACUAGCAGGUGAGGAGGAGCAUGACGUCACUAGCAGGUGUGUAGAUGAUGCUGA